This 164-nucleotide ribosomal RNA is filed under the name Exochaenium baumianum. RNAcentral describes it as "5.8S ribosomal RNA". It matches the Rfam family "5.8S ribosomal RNA". From Rfam's summary of the family: 5.8S ribosomal RNA (5.8S rRNA) is a component of the large subunit of the eukaryotic ribosome. It is transcribed by RNA polymerase I as part of the 45S precursor that also contains 18S and 28S rRNA. The record is from RNAcentral. Lineage: Eukaryota; Viridiplantae; Streptophyta; Magnoliopsida; Gentianales; Gentianaceae.
AAAACGACUCUCGGCAACGGAUAUCUCGGCUCUCGCAUCGAUGAAGAACGUAGCAAACUGCGAUACUUGGUGUGAAUUGCAGAAUCCCGUGAACCAUCGAGUCUUUGAACGCAAGUUGCGCCCGAAGCCAUCCGGCCGAGGGCACGUCUGCCUGGGCGUCCCGC